GGGGACAAUUUGCAACCUGAGGAUGUUCAUCUCUUCGACCGAUACCCUUAUUUUGGUGGUGGUGCUGAUCUGCUUGACAGGCACAGAGACAUGCGGCUUGAUGUGGAUAAUAUGUCUUACGAGGAAUUAUUGGCAUUGGAAGAACGAAUAGGAGACGUAAGCACCGGACUGAGUGAGGAAACAGUUCUGAAGUGCCUGAAGCAGCGGAAAUAUG
This 214-nucleotide unclassified non-coding RNA is filed under the name Hevea brasiliensis (rubber tree). Lineage: Eukaryota; Viridiplantae; Streptophyta; Magnoliopsida; Malpighiales; Euphorbiaceae. The record is from RNAcentral.